Aethalodelphis obliquidens (Pacific white-sided dolphin) is the source of this 422-nucleotide long non-coding RNA. RefSeq lists it as uncharacterized. The transcript has 3 exons. The record is from RefSeq and is a predicted model, not a curated record. NCBI's taxonomy places the organism in Eukaryota, Metazoa, Chordata, Mammalia, Artiodactyla, Delphinidae.
GGUCGCUGCCGCGCUGCAGCCGCCUGCGCCCCCGCCACGGGCGGGUUCCCCUCGGCUCAGGCCCAAGCUCUCCCUCAGCGCUGCCAGCCGUCGGCCCCGGCGGAGCCGGCGUCCACAGACAGCCGUGAUUAUGCUUCCUGACCACCGGGGCGCCCGCCUGGGAUAAGUGCAGUGUUUUAAAUGAUGCCCUUGAGCUGCCUAUAAACUGCCUACAAAUGACAGCUGGAGUGAAAAAUGACCUGUUUUGGGAUGAGAAUCUGUUGCAAGAGGAACAUACAGUUUGCAGAAUGACGCACAAGGAGUUUUUUGGUACCUGUUGAAAACCUGUGCUCUAUAAAUGGAACAACAAAGCCUGGAUGACAGCACAUCUGUUUACAACAUAGUUUACUGAAUAUUCGAAGCCCACUGUUGAGAUCUAUGGC